GGCGUCUGGAAAGUUUUUCGGUCAAGGAUGGACUCGCGGCCUAUCAGCUAGUUGGUGAGGUAACGGCUCACCAAGGCGUCGACGGGUAGCCGGCCUGAGAGGGCGACCGGCCACACUGGGGCUGAGACACGGCCCAGACUCCUACGGGAGGCAGCAGUGGGGAAUAUUGCACAAUGGGCGAAAGCCUGAUGCAGCGACGCCGCGUGAGGGAUGAAGGCCUUCGGGUUGUAAACCUCUUUCAGUAGGGAAGAAGCGACUGGGUUCUCUCAGACGUGACGGUACCUGCAGAAGAAGCGCCGGCUAACUACGUGCCAGCAGCCGCGGUAAUACGUAGGGCGCAAGCGUUGUCCGGAAUUAUUGGGCGUAAAGAGCUCGUAGGCGGUUUGUCGCGUCUGCUGUGAAAACUCGAGGCUCAACCUCGGGCUUGCAGUGGGUACGGGCAGACUAGAGUGCGGUAGGGGAGACUGGAAUUCCUGGUGUAGCGGUGGAAUGCGCAGAUAUCAGGAGGAACACCGAUGGCGAAGGCAGGUCUCUGGGCCGCAACUGACGCUGAGGAGCGAAAGCGUGGGGAGCAAACAGGAUUAAGC
This 587-nucleotide ribosomal RNA is filed under the name uncultured bacterium. RNAcentral describes it as "bacterial SSU rRNA". It matches the Rfam family "Bacterial small subunit ribosomal RNA", at positions 198 to 783 of the family's 1533-position model. The record is from RNAcentral.